This 843-nucleotide ribosomal RNA is filed under the name Pseudocenococcum floridanum. Its description in RNAcentral is "eukaryotic LSU rRNA". It matches the Rfam family "Eukaryotic large subunit ribosomal RNA", at positions 76 to 937 of the family's 3401-position model. The record is from RNAcentral. Lineage: Eukaryota; Fungi; Ascomycota; Dothideomycetes; Gloniales; Gloniaceae.
UGCCUCAGUAACGGCGAGUGAAGCGGCAACAGCUCAAAUUUGAAAUCUGGCUCCUUCGGGGCCCGAGUUGUAAUUUGUAGAGGAUGCUUCGGCGUUGGCUCCGGUCUAAGUUCCUUGGAACAGGACGUCACAGAGGGUGAGAAUCCCGUAUGUGAUCGGCCGCCUUCGCCAUGUGAAGCUCCUUCGACGAGUCGAGUUGUUUGGGAAUGCAGCUCUAAAUGGGAGGUAAAUUUCUUCUAAAGCUAAAUACUGGCCAGAGACCGAUAGCGCACAAGUAGAGUGAUCGAAAGAUGAAAAGCACUUUGGAAAGAGAGUCAAAAAGUACGUGAAAUUGUUGAAAGGGAAGCGCUUGCAACCAGACCUGCCUGCAGUUGCUCAUCCGGGCUCUCGCCCGGUGCACUCUUCUGCUGUCAGGCCAGCAUCAGUUCGGGCGGUCGGAUAAAGGCCKCGGGAAUGUGGCUCCCUCCGGGGAGUGUUAUAGCCCGUGGUGAAAUGCGGCCAGCCUGGACUGAGGUCCGCGCUUCGGCUAGGAUGCUGGCGUAAUGGUUGUAAGCGGCCCGUCUUGAAACACGGACCAAGGAGUCUAACAUCUAUGCGAGUGUUUGGGUGUCAAACCCGUGCGCGUAAUGAAAGUGAACGGAGGCGGGAACCCCUCGGGGUGCACCGUCGACCGAUCCUGAUGUCUUCGGAUGGAUUUGAGUAAGAGCAUAGCUGUUGGGACCCGAAAGAUGGUGAACUAUGCCUGAAUAGGGUGAAGCCAGAGGAAACUCUGGUGGAGGCUCGCAGCGGUUCUGACGUGCAAAUCGAUCGUCAAAUUUGGGCAUAGGGGCGAAAGACUAAUCG